UCAGGUUUUGCUUUGCGGUAGAAAACAGUUGAUUCUACAACAGAUGAAGAGCAAAAUAAAGGCUUUUUUAGAGCUGCAUAUGUCAUUUCAGGGAUCCUGCUGGUGCCAUUGACUCUCGCGCUGACCAUCUUUAUGUUUUGGCAUGUUUAUCUUAUUCUGCAAAACAAGACCACAAUAGAGUACCAUGAAGGUGUGAGAGUUAUGUGGCUUGCUGAAAAAAGAGAUUAUCUGUAUUCACAUCCAUAUGAUCUUGGUACUUAUGAGAAUAUGAUAUCAGUUUUAGGUCCAAAUAUCUUUUGCUGGGUAUGUCCCACCUCAGAGCAGAUUGGUUCUGGCCUUCGUUUCCGCACCAACAAUCUGAUGGUCCUA
Molecule: RNA transcript, 369 nt
Organism: Coffea arabica (coffee)
Lineage: Eukaryota; Viridiplantae; Streptophyta; Magnoliopsida; Gentianales; Rubiaceae
Gene name: calcineurin B-like protein 3
Source: RefSeq, a predicted model, not a curated record